CCUACGGGGGGCAGCAGUGGGGAAUAUUGGGCAAUGGGCGCAAGCCUGACCCAGCAACGCCGCGUGAAGGAAGAAGGCUUUCGGGUUGUAAACUUCUUUUGACAGGGAAGAGUAGAAGACGGUACCUGUCGAAUAAGCCACGGCUAACUACGUGCCAGCAGCCGCGGUAAUACGUAGGUGGCAAGCGUUGUCCGGAUUUACUGGGUGUAAAGGGCGUGUAGCCGGGUUGACAAGUCAGAUGUGAAAUCCUGCGGCUUAACCGCAGAACUGCAUUUGAAACUGUUGAUCUUGAGUACUGGAGAGGCAGACGGAAUUCCUAGUGUAGCGGUGAAAUGCGUAGAUAUUAGGAGGAACACCAGUGGCGAAGGCGGUCUGCUGGACAGCAACUGACGGUGAGGCGCGAAAGCGUGGGGAGCAAACAGGAUUAGAUACACCAGUAGUC
This 442-nucleotide ribosomal RNA is filed under the name uncultured bacterium. Its description in RNAcentral is "partial 16S ribosomal RNA". It matches the Rfam family "Bacterial small subunit ribosomal RNA", at positions 338 to 795 of the family's 1533-position model. The record is from RNAcentral.